UACUACCUUCGGGGUCAGGUGGAAUUCCUAACCGGCGGUAAAGCCCGCGAGUCCGUAAAAAUUUACGGAUAGAUCCGGUGAAAUUCCGGAGCCGACAGUUAAAGUCUGGAUGGGAGAAGGUAUUA
This 125-nucleotide non-coding RNA is filed under the name Carboxydothermus hydrogenoformans. RNAcentral describes it as "FMN sequence". It matches the Rfam family "FMN riboswitch aptamer (RFN element)". Rfam says of the family: The RFN element is a highly conserved domain that is found frequently in the 5'-untranslated regions of prokaryotic mRNAs that encode for flavin mononucleotide (FMN) biosynthesis and transport proteins. This element is a metabolite-dependent riboswitch that directly binds FMN in the absence of proteins. Lineage: Bacteria; Bacillati; Bacillota; Clostridia; Thermoanaerobacterales; Thermoanaerobacteraceae. The record is from RNAcentral. RNAcentral also lists the same sequence under 1 other name.